GGAAUGCAGCUUGCUGCUUUGCUGUACUCAUGGACUGGACGGCGGAGUAAUGUCUGGCAAUUGAUCCGAAUCUAGGGGAUAACUACUGGAAACGGUAGCUAAUACCGCAUAAUGUCGCAAGACCAAAGAGGGGGACCUUCGGGCCUCUUGCCAUCGGAUGUGCCCAGAUGGGAUUAGCUUGUUGGUGAGGUAACGGCUCACCAAGGCGACGAUCCCUAGCUGGUCUGAGAGGAUGACCAGCCACACUGGAACUGAGACACGGUCCAGACUCCUACGGGAGGCAGCAGUGGGGAAUAUUGCACAAUGGGCGCAAGCCUGAUGCAGCCAUGCCGCGUGUAUGAAGAAGGCCUUCGGGUUGUAAAGUACUUUCAGCGGGGAGGAAGGGGUUAAGGUUAAUAACCUUAGCCAUUGACGUUACCCGCAGAAAAAGCACCGGCUAACUCCGUGCCAGCAGCCGCGGUAAUACGGAGGGUGCAAGCGUUAAUCGGAAUUACUGGGCGUAAAGCGCACGCAGGCGGUCUGUCAAGUCGGAUGUGAAAUCCCCGGGCUCAACCUGGGAACUGCAUUCGAAACUGGCAGGCUUGAGUCUCGUAGAGGGGGGUAGAAUUCCAGGUGUAGCGGUGAAAUGCGUAGAGAUCUGGAGGAAUACCGGUGGCGAAGGCGGCCCCCUGGACAAAGACUGACGCUCAGGUGCGAAAGCGUGGGGAGCAAACAGGAUUAAAUACCCUGGUAGUUCACGCCGUAAACGAUGUCUAUUUGGAGGUUGUGCCCUUGAGGCGUGGCUUCCGGAACUAACGCGUUAAAUAAACCGCCUGGGGAGUACGGCCGCAAGGUUAAAACUCAAAUAAAUUGACGGGCCCCCACACGUGAACAUUGUUAAUUUCAAUCACC
This 891-nucleotide ribosomal RNA is filed under the name Klebsiella oxytoca. RNAcentral describes it as "bacterial SSU rRNA". It matches the Rfam family "Bacterial small subunit ribosomal RNA", at positions 70 to 960 of the family's 1533-position model. Lineage: Bacteria; Pseudomonadati; Pseudomonadota; Gammaproteobacteria; Enterobacterales; Enterobacteriaceae. The record is from RNAcentral.